GAUGAUGUAGUUUAAUGGUGGAGCGUGGGAAUCAUAAUCCUAAUGUUGUAGGUUCGAGUCCUACCAUCAUCA
This 72-nucleotide transfer RNA is filed under the name Pythium aphanidermatum DAOM BR444. Its description in RNAcentral is "tRNA-Met for anticodon CAU". It matches the Rfam family "tRNA". From Rfam's summary of the family: Transfer RNA (tRNA) molecules are approximately 80 nucleotides in length. Their secondary structure includes four short double-helical elements and three loops (D, anti-codon, and T loops). Lineage: Eukaryota; Oomycota; Peronosporomycetes; Pythiales; Pythiaceae. The record is from RNAcentral.